AGUGAACGCUGGCGGUAGGCCUAACACAUGCAAGUCGAACGGCAGCACAGUAAGAGCUUGCUCUUACGGGUGGCGAGUGGCGGACGGGUGAGGAAUACAUCGGAAUCUACUUUUUCGUGGGGGAUAACGUAGGGAAACUUACGCUAAUACCGCAUACGACCUACGGGUGAAAGCAGGGGAUCUUCGGACCUUGCGCGAUUGAAUGAGCCGAUGUCGGAUUAGCUAGUUGGCGGGGUAAAGGCCCACCAAGGCGACGAUCCGUAGCUGGUCUGAGAGGAUGAUCAGCCACACUGGAACUGAGACACGGUCCAGACUCCUACGGGAGGCAGCAGUGGGGAAUAUUGGACGAUGGGCGCAAGCCUGAUCCAGCCAUACCGCGUGGGUGAAGAAGGCCUUCGGGUUGUAAAGCCCCUUUGUUGGGAAAGAAAAGCAGCAGGUUAAUACCCCGCUGUUCUGACGGUACCCAAAGAAUAAGCACCGGCUAACUUCGUG
This 492-nucleotide ribosomal RNA is filed under the name uncultured bacterium. Its description in RNAcentral is "partial 16S ribosomal RNA". It matches the Rfam family "Bacterial small subunit ribosomal RNA", at positions 29 to 507 of the family's 1533-position model. The record is from RNAcentral.